AUUGAACGCUGGCGGCCGGCCUAACACAUGCAAGUCGAACGAGUGUCUGACGUUUGUGUAAUGUCUGGGAAACUGCCCGAUGGAGGGUGAUAACUACUGGAAACGGUAUCUACUACCGCCUACCAUCGGAUGUGCCCAGAUGGGAGUAGCUACUAGGGGGGGUAACUGCUCACCUAGGCGACGAUCCCUAGCUGGUCUGAUAGGAUGACCAGCGAAACGGGAAAUGAGAAACGGGCCAGAAUCCUACGGGAAGCAGCCGGGGGGAAUAUUGAAGAAGGGGCGCAAGGCUGAUGCAGCCAUGGCGCGUGGAGGAAGCAGGAAAUCGGGGUGUAAAGUACUUUCAGUGAGGAGGCGUUCCUCGCAGAAGAAGCACCGGCUAACUCCGUGCCAGCAGCCGCGGUAAUAC
This 406-nucleotide ribosomal RNA is filed under the name uncultured bacterium. RNAcentral's name for it is "partial 16S ribosomal RNA". It matches the Rfam family "Bacterial small subunit ribosomal RNA", at positions 30 to 526 of the family's 1533-position model. The record is from RNAcentral.